GAUCGGGUAGCUCAGUCGGUUAGAGCGCCUCGUUGACAUCGAGGAGGUCGGGGGUUCGAGUCCCUUCCCGAUCA
Molecule: non-coding RNA, 74 nt
Organism: Candidatus Woesebacteria bacterium
Lineage: Bacteria; Candidatus Woeseibacteriota
Source: Rfam